Etheostoma spectabile (orangethroat darter) is the source of this 141-nucleotide long non-coding RNA. RefSeq lists it as uncharacterized. The transcript has 3 exons. NCBI's taxonomy places the organism in Eukaryota, Metazoa, Chordata, Actinopteri, Perciformes, Percidae. The record is from RefSeq and is a predicted model, not a curated record.
AGCCUAAACAUUAAUUUCCGACAUGUUCCUAUCUGUCAGCAGCUCGGACACACUGCUGUCCACGCUGACGUACCGUCACCCGUUUGGACACAGAUGUUAUGAAAUAAUACUCUAAUACUCUUUUUUUCCUGUGAAGAAAUG